UAGAGGCCUACCAUGGUGGUAACGGGUAACGGGGUGUUAGGGCACGACACCGGCGAGGGAGCCUGAGAAACGGCUACCACAUCCAAGGAUGGCAGCAGGCGCGCAAAUUACCCAAUCCCGACACGGGGAGGUAGUGACAAUAAAUAACAAUACGGGGUUCUUUCGGAUCUCGUAAUUGGAAUGAGUACAAUUUAAAUCUCUUAACGAGGAACAAUUGGAGGGCAAGUCUGGUGCCAGCAGCUGCGGUAAUUCCAGCUCCAAUAGCGUAUAUUAAAGUUGUUGCAGUUAAAAAGCUCGUAGUUGAAUUUCGGGGUUAGUAGGUUGGUCAUGCCUCUGGUAUGUACUGGUCUCACUGAUUCCUCCUUCCUGAUGAACCGUAAUGCCAUUAAUUUGGUGUUGCGGGGAAUUUGGACUGUUACUUCGAAAAAAUUAGAGUGUUUAAAGCAAGCUAACGCUUGAAUACAUUAGCAUGGAAUAAUGAAAUAGGACGUUCGAUCCUAUUUUGUUGGUUUCUAGGAUUGACGUAAUGAUUAAUAGGGAUAGUUGGGGGCAUUAGUAUUCAAUUGUCAGAGGUGAAAUUCUUGGAUUUAUUGAAGACUAACUACUGCGAAAGCAUUUGCCAAGGAUGUUUUCAUUAAUCAAGAACGAAAGUUAGGGGAUCGAAGACGAUCAGAUACCGUCGUAGUCUUAACCAUAAACUAUGCCGACUAGGGAUCG
This 717-nucleotide ribosomal RNA is filed under the name uncultured fungus. Its description in RNAcentral is "SSU rRNA". It matches the Rfam family "Eukaryotic small subunit ribosomal RNA", at positions 334 to 1055 of the family's 1831-position model. The record is from RNAcentral. Lineage: Eukaryota; Fungi.